AAACGACUCUCGGCAACGGAUAUCCCGGCUCUCGCAUCGAUGAAGAACGUAGCGAAAUGCGAUACUUGGUGUGAAUUGCAGAAUCCCGUGAACCAUCGAGUCUUUGAACGCAAGUUGCGCCCGAAGCCUUUUGGCUGAGGGCACGUCUGCUUGGGUGUCACGC
RNAcentral lists this ribosomal RNA (163 nucleotides) under Pleurospermopsis sikkimensis. RNAcentral's name for it is "5.8S ribosomal RNA". It matches the Rfam family "5.8S ribosomal RNA". Rfam says of the family: 5.8S ribosomal RNA (5.8S rRNA) is a component of the large subunit of the eukaryotic ribosome. It is transcribed by RNA polymerase I as part of the 45S precursor that also contains 18S and 28S rRNA. The record is from RNAcentral. Lineage: Eukaryota; Viridiplantae; Streptophyta; Magnoliopsida; Apiales; Apiaceae.